Molecule: long non-coding RNA, 557 nt
Organism: Solanum tuberosum (potato)
Lineage: Eukaryota; Viridiplantae; Streptophyta; Magnoliopsida; Solanales; Solanaceae
Exons: 2
Source: RefSeq, a predicted model, not a curated record
GACAUAAGCACUGUUUGAAAUUCUUGAGAUUCUUGUGAUCUUGAUUUGUUGAGAAUCAGAUACGGAUUACGGACACGACUGACUGAGUUACUGGAACAUCAAAGUGUGCUUCCUUAUUAUCAUCUUGGUCUCAUCACUGCAUCUCAGAUACUAUACUAAUCCAACUAGGAAUAUUCAAUUUAGGCAUACAUUGAGAAUUAAUUCUUAUUUCCUAGAAUGUUGGAUAUAAAUUUGUGUUCUAUUAGAAAUAAAAAUGAACCGUGGAAGGCCUUUCAUGGUUUCUGUUUAUGCAACUGGAUCGAUAAGGAGAUAACCCGUGAAAUGCACUUAGUUUUUUGGAUGGCAUAACUGAAUUGAUAAGGAUAGGCAACUAAAGAGAAUAAUUGAUCAUCAAACAAUAAAUAAUAUGCCACUAUCAUCCGUGUAUUAGAGGAUUGACACCUUAAUGGAAUAAGGGAGGAGGGCUGGAUAUGGUUGUGUAUGAGAAAAGAUGUUAUGAAACGAUUUGUAAACUUGUUCGUAUGAGCCUUAUAAGACAAGGCAUUACAACAUAUGAA